CAGUCGCCGCGGGAAUACGAAGGGGGCUAGCGUUGCUCGGAAUUACUGGGCGUAAAGCGCACGCAGGCGGUCUGUCAAGUCAGAUGUGAAAUCCCCGGGCUUAACCUGGGAACUGCAUUUGAAACUGGCAGGCUAGAGUCUUGUAGAGGGGGGUAGAAUUCCAGGUGUAGCGGUGAAAUGCGUAGAGAUCUGGAGGAAUACCGGUGGCGAAGGCGGCCCCCUGGACAAAGACUGACGCUCAGGUGCGAAAGCGUGGGGAGCAAACAGGAUUAGAUACCCGUGUAGUCCCUGUCUCUUAUAC
RNAcentral lists this ribosomal RNA (301 nucleotides) under uncultured bacterium. Its description in RNAcentral is "partial 16S ribosomal RNA". It matches the Rfam family "Bacterial small subunit ribosomal RNA", at positions 509 to 807 of the family's 1533-position model. The record is from RNAcentral.